This 279-nucleotide ribosomal RNA is filed under the name uncultured bacterium. Its description in RNAcentral is "partial 16S ribosomal RNA". It matches the Rfam family "Bacterial small subunit ribosomal RNA", at positions 506 to 784 of the family's 1533-position model. The record is from RNAcentral.
UGCCAGCAGCCGCGGUAAUACGGAGGGUGCAAGCGUUGUUCGGAAUUAUUGGGCGUAAAGCGGGUGUAGGCGGCUUUGCAAGUCAAGUGUGAAAUCCCAGGGCCCAACCCUGGAACUGCACUCGAUACUGCAGAGCUAGAGUCCCGGAGAGGAUGGCGGAAUUCCAGGUGUAGAGGUGAAAUUCGUAGAUAUCUGGAGGAACACCAGUGGCGAAGGCGGCCAUCUGGACGGUGACUGACGCUCAGACCCGAAAGUGUGGGGAGCAAACAGGAUUAGAUA